GACGAACGCUGGCGGCGUGCCUAAUACAUGCAAGUAGAACGCUGAAGGAGGAGCUUGCUUCUCUGGAUGAGUUGCGAACGGGUGAGUAACGCGUAGGUAACCUGCCUGGUAGCGGGGGAUAACUAUUGGAAACGAUAGCUAAUACCGCAUAAUAGUAGAUGUUGCAUGACAUUUGCUUAAAAGGUGCAAUUGCAUCACUACCAGAUGGACCUGCGUUGUAUUAGCUAGUUGGUGUGGUAACGGCUCACCAAGGCGACGAUACAUAUCCGACCUGAGAGGGUGAUCGGCCAAACUGGGACGGAGACAAGGCCCAGAAUCCUACGGGAGGCAGCAGUAGGGAAACUUCGGCAAUGGACGGAAGUCUGACCGAGCAACGCCGCGUGAGUGAAGAAGGUUUUCGGAUCGUAAAGCUCUGUUGUAAGAGAAGAACGAGUGUGAGAGUGGAAAGUUCACACUGUGACGGUAUCUUACCAGAAAGGGACGGCUAACUACGUG
Molecule: ribosomal RNA, 495 nt
Filed under: uncultured bacterium
Lineage: Bacteria
Description: partial 16S ribosomal RNA
Rfam family: Bacterial small subunit ribosomal RNA
Source: RNAcentral